UGCGGAAGGAUCAUUAUCGAAAUUAUAGGUGAGGGUUGUAGCUGGCCUCUCGGGGCAUGUGCACGCCCGAGCCCUUAAUCCACACACACCUGUGAACCUAUUGUAAGGGCCCUUAAAAAAGGCCUUUACGUCUUAUCAUCAACCCAUCGUAUGUCUCAUAGAAUGUAAAUAUAUGUCCUCGCCUUAAAAAGCGUUGAUAAACUUAUACAACUUUCAACAACGGAUCUCUUGGCUCUCGCAUCGAUGAAGAACGCAGCGAAAUGCGAUAAGUAAUGUGAAUUGCAGAUUUUCAGUGAAUCAUCGAAUCUUUGAACGCACCUUGCGCUCCUUGGUAUUCCGAGGAGCAUGCCUGUUUGAGUGUCAUUAAAUUCUCAACUCNGAUCGAUUUGUUUCGACUUCGGAGCUUGGAUUUGGAGCGUGCUGGCGUCGGUCGGCUCCUCUUAAAUGCAUCAGCGGAAUCUAACGUUUCGGACGUCAGUGUGAUAAUCANGUUGCGCUGUCUGUCUGAUCCGAAAGCCCGCUCAC
RNAcentral lists this ribosomal RNA (525 nucleotides) under Piloderma fallax. RNAcentral describes it as "eukaryotic LSU rRNA". The stretch from base 209 to 363 matches the Rfam family "5.8S ribosomal RNA". The record is from RNAcentral. Lineage: Eukaryota; Fungi; Basidiomycota; Agaricomycetes; Atheliales; Atheliaceae.